This 460-nucleotide ribosomal RNA is filed under the name uncultured bacterium. RNAcentral's name for it is "partial 16S ribosomal RNA". It matches the Rfam family "Bacterial small subunit ribosomal RNA", at positions 338 to 795 of the family's 1533-position model. The record is from RNAcentral.
CCUACGGGUGGCAGCAGUGAGGACUAUUGGUCAAUGGGCGAGAGCCUGAACCAGCCAAGUCGCGUGAAGGAUGACGGCCCUACGGGUUGUAAACUUCUUUUGUCAGGGAGCAAUUGGGUCCACGCGUGGGCUUAGCGAGAGUACCUGACGAAAAAGCAUCGGAUAACUCCGUACCAGCAGCCGCUGGAAUACGGAGUAUGCGAGCGUUAUCCGGAUUUAUUGGGUUGAAAGGGUGCGUAGGCGGAAUAUCAAGUCAGCGGUAAAAAUUGGGGGCUCAAACCCGUCGUGCCGUUGAAACUGAUGUUCUUGAGGGGGCGAGAGGUAUGCGGAAUGCGUGGUGUAGCGGUGAAAUGCAUAGAUAUCACGCAGAACUCCGAUUGCGAAGGCAGCAUACCGGCGCCCAACUGACGCUGAAGCACGAAAGCGUGGGUAUCGAACAGGAUUAGAUACCCUAGUAGUC